GCUGGGUGUGGUAGUGCACACCUGUAAUCCCAGCUACUAGGGAGGCUGAAGCAGAAAGAUUGCAAAUUUGAGGACAGCCUGGGCAAUCAAGUGAGAGCCUGUCUUUAAGUAAAUAGAUAAAAAGUAUGAGGGUAUAGCUCCGUGAGUACAAUCCCCAAUACCAAGAAAAGAAAUGGGCUCCUGGUAUUCUAUCAGUACUGACUCUGCACUUUUUGGAUUUUU
RNAcentral lists this small RNA (222 nucleotides) under Marmota monax (woodchuck). Lineage: Eukaryota; Metazoa; Chordata; Mammalia; Rodentia; Sciuridae. The record is from RNAcentral.